This 529-nucleotide ribosomal RNA is filed under the name uncultured Phaeobacter sp. RNAcentral's name for it is "bacterial SSU rRNA". It matches the Rfam family "Bacterial small subunit ribosomal RNA", at positions 81 to 645 of the family's 1533-position model. Lineage: Bacteria; Pseudomonadati; Pseudomonadota; Alphaproteobacteria; Rhodobacterales; Roseobacteraceae. The record is from RNAcentral.
UACCUUCGGGUGGAGCGGCGGACGGGUUAGUAACGCGUGGGAACAUACCCUUUUCUAUGGAAUAGCCUCGGGAAACUGAGAGUAAUACCAUAUACGCCCUUCGGGGGAAAGAUUUAUCGGUGAAGGAUUGGCCCGCGUAAGAUUAGAUAGUUGGUGGGGUAAUGGCCUACCAAGUCUACGAUCUUUAGCUGGUUUUAGAGGAUGAUCAGCAACACUGGGACUGAGACACGGCCCAGACUCCUACGGGAGGCAGCAGUGGGGAAUCUUAGACAAUGGGCGCAAGCCUGAUCUAGCCAUGCCGCGUGAGUGAUGAAGGUCUUAGGAUCGUAAAGCUCUUUCGCUAGGGAUGAUAAUGACAGUACCUAGUAAAGAAGCCCCGGCUAACUCCGUGCCAGCAGCCGCGGUAAUACGGAGGGGGCUAGCGUUGUUCGGAAUUACUGGGCGUAAAGCGUACGUAGGCGGAUCAGAAAGUAAGGGGUGAAAUCCCAGGGCUCAACCCUGGAACUGCCUCUUAAACUCCUGGUCUUGA